RNAcentral lists this unclassified non-coding RNA (324 nucleotides) under soil metagenome. Its description in RNAcentral is "partial contains 5.8S ribosomal RNA, internal transcribed spacer 2, and large subunit ribosomal RNA". The stretch from base 1 to 120 matches the Rfam family "5.8S ribosomal RNA", at positions 35 to 154 of the family's 154-position model. The record is from RNAcentral.
GAUGAAGAACGCAGCGAAAUGCGAUACGUAAUGUGAAUUGCAGAAUUCAGUGAAUCAUCGAAUCUUUGAACGCACAUUGCGCCCUGUGGUAUUCCGCAGGGCAUGCCUGUUCGAGCGUCAUUUCAACCCUCAAGCCCCGCUUGGUGUUGGGCCCCGCCCGCUGUGGCCGGCCCUAAAGACAGUGGCGGCGCCGCCUGGCCCUCAGCGUAGUACAUCUCUCGCUCCAGGGUCCGGUGGCCGCCUGCCAGAACCCCCCAACUCUGUGGUUGACCUCGGAUCAGGUAGGGAUACCCGCUGAACUUAAGCAUAUCAAUAAGCGGAGGA